RNAcentral lists this ribosomal RNA (497 nucleotides) under uncultured bacterium. RNAcentral describes it as "partial 16S ribosomal RNA". It matches the Rfam family "Bacterial small subunit ribosomal RNA", at positions 28 to 507 of the family's 1533-position model. The record is from RNAcentral.
GAUGAACGCUGGUGGCGUGCCUAAUACAUGCAAGUCGAGCGAACGGACGAGAAGCUUGCUUCUCUGAUGUUAGCGGCGGACGGGUGAGUAACACGUGGAUAACCUACCUAUAAGACUGGGAUAACUUCGGGAAACCGGAGCUAAUACCGGAUAAUAUUUUGAACCGCAUGGUUCAAAAGUGAAAGACGGUCUUGCUGUCACUUAUAGAUGGAUCCGCGCUGCAUUAGCUAGUUGGUAAGGUAACGGCUUACCAAGGCAACGAUGCGUAGCCGACCUGAGAGGGUGAUCGGCCACACUGGAACUGAGACACGGUCCAGACUCCUACGGGAGGCAGCAGUAGGGAAUCUUCCGCAAUGGGCGAAAGCCUGACGGAGCAACGCCGCGUGAGUGAUGAAGGUCUUCGGAUCGUAAAACUCUGUUAUUAGGGAAGAACAUAUGUGUAAGUAACUGUGCACAUCUUGACGGUACCUAAUCAGAAAGCCACGGCUAACUACGUG